This 2500-nucleotide long non-coding RNA is filed under the name Homo sapiens (human). RNAcentral describes it as "HSALNT0330415". The record is from RNAcentral. Lineage: Eukaryota; Metazoa; Chordata; Mammalia; Primates; Hominidae.
GCAGGCAGUGAGGGUCUUACUAUCAAACCCUUACUGGGCUCUUUCUUGCCAAUGCAGUCAGCUCAACACACUCAACAAAGUAGUUGUUGGCCAACCACCCCCACCCCCUGCCCACGUUUCUGGCUGAACUCUGGCAGCCCCAUGACUUGCAGGAGCACAGGCAGGUUGGGGGUAACCCUGCCUUCUCUGGGGGGUACUCACUCAGCUGUGAACUCGUUGGUUCCCACAGGGAUGCAGUACACGAACUGCAUGGCGCUCCACAGCCGGUGGAACUCCACACACUCAUCGACGUGCAUGACGCCAUUGGUGGGCGGUGGGCCCCGCCAGAUGGGGUCCUGCAGGUAGCUCCGAAUGCGGGUCAGGAUGACCUCGAACAUGGACAGGCCACAGCACAGCCGCUCCUUGGUCAGGAGGUCACCCUCGCGAGCAAUGGCGAUUUGGGCAGGGGUCCUGUCUUACUCAUCUUGAUGUUCAUCGUGACUCGUACUGGUUUUUAACAAUUACAGAAUAACAUAUAAGCUCAUUCACCCUUGUUAGAACACUACAGAAAAGGCUGAAGUCUUCUUUCUCUCCCACUCUAUUCUAUCUCAUCUCUCUUCAGAGGUUGCCACCAUGAUAAACUAGGUAGACAUCAUUCCAGACAUUUUCAGAAGAGUUUUAUAUGGUUUUGUUGUGUGCAUUUAAAAAAAGCCAUCAUCCUGCAUGAACUGUAGUGCAGCUUGCUUCAUCCAAUUGACUGUGCCUAUGAUCUAUCCACACUGAUGCAACAAGAUCUAAUUUUGCCUUUUCAUUAUGUAUUAAGUACAUACGUGAUAUGCAAUAACCUGGCAUUUUAUUUAAUCAAUGCUUUACUAUUAGAUGUUUGGGUUGUUUCUAGUUUUUGCUUUAACAAACAAUGUUACAUAAGCAUCUAGUGUUCCGUUAAGUGUUUCUUUAGCAAAAGUAUCCAGAAGUGAACUGCUGGCUCACAGAGUAUGUGGAGUUUUAAUUUUCAGAGGCAAAGUAACAGAUUCUUGAUAUCUACCAGGGACACAGUAGAUACUUGUUUAAAUAAGCAGACGACUUGUUGGCAGGAUACAUGAUACAGGCUACAGAAGAAACACUCAGGCCUGAGAGUCAGCAAAUCUCAUUCCAGACCUGCUGUUGCUAUUAAUAUUAACCAGUUUUUGGGUAUUGGACAUUGUCUUCCCUUCUCUGAGCCUCAGUUUCCUGACCUGUACAAUGAGGGGGUUUGGUCAAAUGCUCUCAAGUUCCUGUCAGUGAUCAGAGCCCAUUUAUUAUAUAAGAUUGGUACCGCAGGAGGAAGCCAAGGUCAGAUUCAGGCAAGGUAAAUUUCUGAUGUGUGUGGACACGGAAGAGAAGAUGUCUAAAAGGCAACUAGAUGUGAGGCCUAGGCCCUGCAGAGUCUGCAGAGUAGAUCUGAGCUUGGAAGUCAGCAUGGGAUGGAGGCUGACCCCAGGGGAAAGGAACUGUGCAAGUGCAAGGUUUGCAUAAGUGGGUGCUUCUCAGGGUGACCAAGACCCUUCCGGAGACUUCAGUUCCUCUGACUAUAUGAGACCCAAGAGAAAAACAGCACAAAGUGCUCCUUGAGUUCAAGGGAAUACAUAAAUUCUGAACAUUUCCAUGUCUACUAGCAUACAACCUAAACAGGGAUAAAAAGACACCUUUCAAGUCAGAAAUAGGGAAGAUGCCACUUCUCUGCAUUUGCUGCUACCUCUUUAUUCCUUUCUUUAGGUCACCAAAUAUCUAUUGAGUGCUUGCUCUGUGAUCUGGCAGACAACUCAAAGGCACAGAGAUGAAGAUGAAACACACCAUGGAGCCAGGGAAGGGCCUGGAUGCUGUGGGAAACACUACAACAGGUAGAGCUCUGUAAAAAUGAGAUUUCAAUGAAGUUUACCAUCUAGUGGAGAAGAGAUCCAAGGACACCCGUGACUGAGAAAUAAAACAGAAUCAAUUGGGUGCAAUAGGAGAAGUUGCUGACAAAGGGCUUUGGAGACUGAGAAGAGAGAGAAACACCACCAAGUUCCUUGCAGAGAAAGGCAUUUGAUAAAAUGUGUGUUGAAUAAAAGGACCAGCGGUUUGUGGAGGAUGAGGAAAUGAUGGCUGUGAGAUGGGCCUGAGAGGAGGGGCAGGGUUUUGAACUGGGAGGAAAGGUGCCAUCCCAUUCAGGAGGAGGAUGAAAUCAGGGAUAAAAUGAGGUGGCUGAUAUGAAAGGAGUGGGGCAUCCUUGGCUUGGGCUUGUGAGGAGUGUGGGCCACAGUGCUAUGGGCAGUCAGGAGCCAGGCUUUCAGUUCUAACGGGGCUUAGAGAAAAGGCCGAUUCAAGUCUCUUUGCUGAUGGCAAGAGGAGGAAAGGGGGCUCUUGGUAACCGAGGACCUGCUUCUUAAGCGCUGGAGACUUCGCAUUCAUUACCUCACUUAACACUAAGAACUCUGUGAGGUAGCUCCUCAGUCCCAGCACUUUUCAGGCGUGGAAACUAAGGCUUAGAGAAGGAGUGUAC